GGCGCGGGGGCACGGCCCCUCCAGGCGGAGGCGCCGCUCGGGGGCAAGGGCCCCUCCCGGCCGAGGCAGCGUAUGGGGGCAGGGCAUCCGGGCGGGGGCGCGUCGAAUCCGGCCAGGGGACAGCGGAUCCGGUGGCGGUGCGUCUAGAUCCGGCCGGGACAGGCAGCUUCGGGUGGGGGAUGGCGGCUCCGACGGUGCAAUGGAGGCGAGAUGGGCAUGCCGGGGCGCGGAGCUGCGCCGCGGCCCCGGCGCGGCAGAGCAGCGCAGCAGCACCGGCGGUGGCGGCGGGCCGCGCCGGCAGCCCAGAUGGGCUCGACAGGCCAGGCUUUUCUUUUUUUUCUCCAUUAACAGAGGCGGGCGGCUGAACGCCUUGGAAAAUCCUGAUUUACCGUGACGGAACCUCCGAGGUGGUUGCCUGUGCCCGCCUCGGAAAAUUCUUUUCAACCGCCUCAGAAAAUCUUUUUUGUAGUAGUGUCGUGCUCAAACUUCUUUGCAUUGCAAAAUUCAUAAUUUUUUGACAAUCUUCAGAAUGCAUGUGAGUACUUUGGUGUGUGUUGCUAUAGACAUGGUUGUACAGAUCUUGGACCGUAGGACCCUAUCAAAGGAACUGUCCUCCACUGAUGCCAGACAGCUGUUCUAUUUCCCGUCCUUGUAGAUGUCGCAUCCGAAACAGUCUGAGGGACGCCUCCAUUCAAUGGCUGCCUAAGCAACUCCCAGAACACAGGUCAUAGCCACAUUUGCAAUGGAGUGACCGCGGUUCAACUUAGGCCCUACUUGGAUCCCAUGGGCUAAACUUAGGACUAAAGCUAGCCACUUUUAGCCAUGGUCUAUUUGUAUCCCAUAGACUAAACUUUAGCCAUGCAAAAGAAAAAGUCCCUUAUACCCCAGUUGCCCCAUCUUCUCUCUAUCCCAUCCCUUUCUCUCUCACUUAACGGCUCGGUUUGAGGGGCGAGGCAGCGUGGUGACAGCUCGACAACACACUAUUCCUUGCAACCAAAUUGAUUAAAGGCAGUAUGGAUAUUUUGUUUGUUCACGUACAGAUGGGGACACUGCAUGGGACAAGCAAAACAUUGCUCCUGGUGAAGAUAGUGAAUGGUUGCACACAAAUGAUACUUAUCAAAUGCGAUCAAUUCAUUUUUCCUCACAGGGCCAAGAAUGCCUCGUGAUUGGUUCGAAAUCAUCAAACUACCCUUGUUAUUUGGUGGAUACCCCAUUCUGUUUAUUGCUUUCCUGACUUGGCAAAUUACAUCAUGUAACUUACUCCCUCCGGUCUUCAAAUAACUGACGUUUCCGACUUGACACGGUCUUCAAAACUCAAUUUUGACAACUAUUUUUUUCUAUAGAAUAUAUAUAAUAUACGAUCAAAGUAUACUUUUAUAAAACUACAUUUUAAGAUGAAUCUAUUGAUACAAUUUUUAUACAUCCAAACUCAACACAUAUAAAUUUAUUUGAAGUCAAAGUUUAAAAUAGUUACUUAGGACAGCCUCAAAACGUCAGUUUUUUGAGGCCGGAGGGAGUAGUCUUCUAGAUAUUACCUAUCAGUGUAAUAUUUAAGAAUAAGUUUAUUUAACCCUCAGCUAUGGAGGUUUGUCUACUUAACCCCAUCAGCUACAAAACCAAGCAUUUAACCCCAUGAACUAUAAAAUACCAUCUAAAUGACCUGAACUGGUUUUGGACGCUGUUUCACAAGAUUUUCAGAACAAAGUCCCAUCGAUCAUACUGCUAAUUACAUCACGAGUUCCACGCCUUAAUGGAUAUAGAAGUAGUUGACUGAUAAUGAUUAGUAUAUUGAUUAAUUAGCCAAACAUUGGACGAAGACUAGGGAAGACCGGACGAUUGAUGCUUCGUCUCAUUGCAUAAUUAGUUUUUGCAUGUGAAAUAACGUGAAGGGGACAAAGUUGGCCAGAUGCAUGCACUUCUCGGUACAAGGUGCAAUACUUUGACAAAGUACUAUUGUAACGAACAUGGCACCAUUUAUGUCAUUUUGAGUGAUUUUGGUGAUCGUAUGACAACACAAUCAAUGGGACUAAUGGUUUUGUUGAGUGAACAUUUCUAGAUCCCAGGGAUGAUGUAAAAAGGUCAUACAAACAAAUACACGAAGAAAGAACUCAAAGAAAUGCUGAAUUGGACGAGUUCUACUGAAACCAGUAGCACCGGAAGAACCGAUGCCUAUAGUAUCGGUACAUCCAAUGGUUGUCGGGAGAUCCGACGGCCUAGCUUUGGUGCAAGACUGAGCGCCUCUGGAGAUCAAGUGAAGAAAGAAUGAAGCACCAGUUGAACCGACAGUGUCAAGAGAAACGUCGGUGCAAUCAACGUACUAUGUUCCAGAGAUGAUGUCAAGUGCGAGGGAACCAUGCCUUCAGCACCAGUUGAACCGGUGGAGUGUCGGAGCAAGGCGUCGGUGCAAUGACGUCAGUAAGGGCAACGGCUACAUGAAGAUCAAGAGGCACCGGUUGAACCGACACUAAGUCAUCGGUUAAACCGGUGGUUGCCAACUCAGCUGCAGAAGCGUCAGAGAAGCCGACGGCUAGUUUCAGCUUGUGAGUGACCGGAAGAACCGAUGCAGAAGCACCGGAAGUUCCGAUGCCCACGCAGAAAAUCUGCUAACGGCUACAAACAGCUAGUUCGACUUGGAGGCCUAUAUAUAUGAGCUCCCCCGACCAUUUGAAGCUUGCUGGAGUUGCUAGA
This is a long non-coding RNA of Panicum virgatum (switchgrass), 2688 nucleotides long. RefSeq lists it as uncharacterized. The record is from RefSeq and is a predicted model, not a curated record. The transcript has 2 exons. NCBI's taxonomy places the organism in Eukaryota, Viridiplantae, Streptophyta, Magnoliopsida, Poales, Poaceae.